UCGCUCUUUCUUUUUUACCUCCAUCUCUUUCUCUCUUUUUUCACAGGGGUACCAGCGAUCAAACCACUUCAUAGCCACCCAAGGUCCCAAGCAGGAGAUGAUCUAUGACUUUCUGGAGGAUGGUGUGGCAGGGAGAAUUGUUUCAGUAUCGUCAUGAUCACUAAACUGGUGGAGGUGGGCAGGAUGAAGUGCUGUAAGUAUUGGCCCGAGGACAGUGAACUCUAUGGAGACAUCAAGAUCACAACUGCUGAAGACAGAAACACUGGCUGAGUACACCGUCCGCACCUUGCUAUGGAGCGGGUGAGCGAAUAGUCAAAGUCCUUCUGUCUAACAAUUAUACAUAAUUUGAAAAUGUAUUGGUUCCUGGGAUCACAUCCAAUUUGAGAGUGUUUUGUUUACUCCAUUUGUUCAGCCAGGCAGUUUAUUGAGAACACAGCCUUUAUAGAGGCAUUGAAUAUCUAACAAACAAUGAAUCAUUUUAAUGUUAAUUGGUCCUUGGAGUUAUUCCUCAUGUUUAGAUAAAGAUGUCUUAUUAAAUGUCCUAACUGUGGCCAACUUUGUGUCUGUUUGUUGAUCAUGAAUAUUGAUUAAGACCCUCUGUAUUCUCCCCUCCA
This 614-nucleotide long non-coding RNA is filed under the name Salmo trutta (river trout). RNAcentral describes it as "lncRNA (ENSSTUG00000039962.1)". Lineage: Eukaryota; Metazoa; Chordata; Actinopteri; Salmoniformes; Salmonidae. The record is from RNAcentral.